This 753-nucleotide long non-coding RNA is filed under the name Canis lupus familiaris (dog). Its description in RNAcentral is "lncRNA (ENSCAFG00030010681.1)". Lineage: Eukaryota; Metazoa; Chordata; Mammalia; Carnivora; Canidae. The record is from RNAcentral.
UUGAUGUUGCGAAAGUGUCCGUUGCGGAGCCGCGUGGAGCUGAUGACAAUGUAGUAACACUCCAUGGGGCCCCGCCGCCUCCCGCCCGGCGCUGGGGCCCCGCCGCCGCCGCCGCCGCCGCCCCGCACGCCGGGGGCCACGCUCACUCCGCCCCGCGGCCGCGCGCGCCGCCCCCCCGCCGCCCCCGCGCCCGCGCCCGCCCCCGCGCCCGCCCCCGCGCCCGCCCCCGCAUGCCCCCCGCCCCCCGCCCCCCGCCGGCCGCAGGGCCCCGAGCGCGUCAGUGGCGGCGGCAGUGGCGGCGGCGGCGGCCCGGGAGUCGCGGCGGCCGGCGGGCAUGAGGGCUGUUAUAGUGCGCGGCGUCGCCGGUCCGCCGCACCGAGCCAAUGGCAGGGAGCCACUGGGCUGGCACGGGGAGCUGUCACGGCCGCGCAGCUGGCGCCCGCCCCCGCCCCCGCCAGGGGGAGCGCCCCGGGAGCCGCCGAGCCGCGGCCGCCGCCGCCCGCCCGCCCCCCGGGAGCCCGGGACUCCGGCGAGGUCGAGGUGUCAGGACAUCUGCACUCGGGCCGCCCACCCCUAGGGCUCCGCACGGCGGGGGCUCCGCACACUACACCCCGGUCCUCGGCCUCGCAGGGAGCCCGGCCGCCCCCCGGACACCAGCCCUGGAGAGAGGAAGAGAAGACAAGGGGACAGAAGAAGUGCUUCCCGCAGAGGGGACACUGCUGUCUGCUGGAUUUAAAAGUGCGGCCUCUUUGA